CUCACCCUCCCUUGUUACCCCGCCUAUAUACCGCCGUCGUCAGCCUACCCUGUGAAGGACUAGAAGUGAGCAAGAUUGGUAAAACCCAAAACGUCAGGUCGAGGUGUAGUGAAUGAGAGGGAAAGAAAUGGGCUACAUUUCCUAAGCCAGGAAAUACGAAUAAUGAACUGAAAUAAGCAUUAGAAGGUGGAUUUAGCAGUAAGUAGGAAAACAGAGUGUUCCGCUGAAGAAUGGCCAUAAAGCACGCACACACCGCCCGUCACUCUCCCCAAGCUACCCUAACCAGCACAUACCUAAAAAAUUAUUCAUGCAAAGGGGAGGCAAGUCGUAACAUGGUAAGCGUACCGGAAGGUGCGCUUGGAAUAAC
This 367-nucleotide ribosomal RNA is filed under the name Dischistodus prosopotaenia (honey-head damsel). RNAcentral's name for it is "partial 12S ribosomal RNA". It matches the Rfam family "Bacterial small subunit ribosomal RNA", at positions 970 to 1527 of the family's 1533-position model. Lineage: Eukaryota; Metazoa; Chordata; Actinopteri; Pomacentridae. The record is from RNAcentral.